Long non-coding RNA from Myotis myotis, 1222 nucleotides. RefSeq lists it as uncharacterized. The record is from RefSeq and is a predicted model, not a curated record. The transcript is spliced from 4 exons. Lineage: Eukaryota; Metazoa; Chordata; Mammalia; Chiroptera; Vespertilionidae.
CCCGGGUCCACCCAGCUGCGCGCCGUGAGGAGUGGGGGCGCGAGUCCCCUCUUGGCGCUGACACCUGCACGCAAGCGGCCUGAAGACCCUCGGAUCCGCGCCAAGCCCUUGCGGGUCCGUGCACGGGGGCCUGGAGAAGGACGGGGACUGUGUAAGCCGGGGCAUUUAAAAGCGGCUUUAUUGUGGUGUGGUUGGUAUACAAGAAACCGCACAUCUAAAUUUGGUAAGUUUUGACAUUUGUAUACACUCGUGAAACCAUCACCAUAAUCCACGCAGUACACACUCCAGUCCCACCCUUGGUACUCCCUCCCCUCCUUACCCCCGUCCCAGGCAAGCGCUGAUCUGCCCCUCGCUGCGGAUUAAGUGGGCAUUUCUUAUCAUUUAUGCACAUGGAAUCACAGGUAUGUGCUUUUUCGGGCUAGUUUCUUUCCCUCAGCAGGAUUAUGUGUUUAUCAAGUUGUUCCUUUUAGGGCUGACUAGUCAUUCAUCCUAGGAAUGUUCCAGUUCCGUGUCUGUUUGCCUGUUCCUGGACAUUUGGGUUGUUUCCAUUCGUUGCCUGUUACAAAUAAAGUGAUACAAACAUCGUGUCCUACCGGUGUUUGGACCAAUACUCGUUUCUCUUGGUGUCAAGUCAACCUUGUGUCGUUGGGAUAAAUCACAAGAAAUCUUUGCCUACCUCAGAUUCACGUGGUGAGAAUAACAACCCUCCAGCGGAGAAGCCACCUGAGUCUGUGACCAAGGUUAAAUCGUCAGUAAGAAGACAGCCAGCCAUCAUGUAGCCUCUGAUGCGAUGGACUGAGAAAGACUCCGCAUCACUUUUGUGGUGUUCUUGCCCCAGAUGCACAGUCUGCAGUCGUGAGAACACUCCAGACGCACAUUGAAAGACGGCUACAAAGGACGGAUGAGUAUGCUCCAAAAAUGAAGGAAGCGGUCGUAAGACAAGAAAGGCCUGAGUCACUGUUCCGGACUGGAAAAGACGAAGGGGAAAGAGCUAAGUGCAGUGUGGGGCCUCGAAUAGACAGGACGUUCGUGGAAAAACGAGUGACACUAAGGCCGGUCGUUCCGGGUCGCGCUUUCCCACGGAUGACGUCCUGCUUCAAAGCUCCUGUGAAGGGAUAAUUGGGGCAGUUGGGCGCCAGUCCGUCUGCCUCUUUCUUCCCCUUUGAUCCCGUGUCCUCUUUUCCUGACUUCCCUUGGAUUGAACAUUUUUGGGUCCAUUUUC